GUGAUAACUAGUGUGAGUGUCGGGGUAGCGAGUGCAUUGCUCUUGACUGGAGUUUGUUGCCUUCACGUCGGCUAUGCCAAAGCGGUUAUUCACCGUGAAGUGAACUCUGCAAAUAUCUUACUCGACAAGAACCUAUUGCUUAAAGUUUCUGAUUUUCGAAAGUAGCGUAGUCAAAUGGAUUUUAUUCUACAAAAAUUCCAACAUGUACGAACAUAUCUAUGUGACUAAUAAAAACAUAUAU
Molecule: long non-coding RNA, 241 nt
Filed under: Medicago truncatula (barrel medic)
Lineage: Eukaryota; Viridiplantae; Streptophyta; Magnoliopsida; Fabales; Fabaceae
Description: lncRNA gene11340
Source: RNAcentral